AUGACCGAGGAGCGGGACCGGCUAGUCACCAAGCUCGCCGAGCAGACGGAGGCUCUCAAGACGGCCCAGCGGGAUGCGAAGGCGAAGGAGGCCGAUCUCCUUGCCGAGUUUGAAACCGAGCGCGCCGCCUGGGCCGACAAGGAGGCGCAGAUGACGGCCUGCUUCAGCAACAUCGAGGACCUGGUCGACGAUUUCUUUCCGGGUCACUCCGUCGCCGCGAGCCAAGCCAUCGAGGCCCAGUGCGAGGAGCGGAGGGCGGAAGGCGCGCAGAUUGCCGUUGACGCCCCUCGGACCCUUAAUGAGCAGAUCCUCAGCAUCCAGGCCCGACUUUGGCCCGCCCAUCAAGUGGUGUGCCGUCUUCAGCGCGUCGGGGCCCAGGAGAUUGCCGCCCUCUGGCCAGGCCUGCCGGCUCUGUGCACUCCAAGCCGGAGCGCCGACUGGCUGGAGGUGGCGGCCGACUGCCUGGAGGCGUGGAAGGGCUCUAUAGCCCAGGCAGGAGCGUGCCGCGCCCUUGAGUUCGUCAUGGCGUGGUAUCCUAGGCUGGACUUAGCCCAGCUGGACAUGUUCCGGCUAGAAGCGCAGGAGGAGCUAGUAGCGGUGGAGGCCGAACUUGUUAACAGGGCGGCGGCGGUCGCCGACUUCACCGACACCAGCAUCUUCGUUCCGGAGGUGGUCGAGGAAGGCGGCGAAGCCCCGCAAGAGUGGCUCGGGCUGAACCCAGAGGACAACAAGGACUCGGCCGAAGUCAUCGACUCCAGCGAUGAAGGAGAGGAGGGGGACGAGGAGGAGGAUGAGGAGGAGGAGGAGGAGGAAGAAGACAUCGACAUCGACAUGUCGGAGGCUGGUGCGGAUGGUCAGCCCCACCCCGACCGGGCGUCAAGCAACGACCCGCGCUCCAAAGCGCCGACUGCUGCUGGAGGCGGCCAGGUGGUGACCGACCAGUCGCCCGUGCCUCCGACAGAUGCCACCGACUCUGUCAUCCAGCCCUCCAUCACCCAGACUGGCAUUGCCGACUCCAGCGCCCAGCCAGAGCCGCCUGUCGCGCCAAUCGGCGCAGCUGACACCGUCGUCCGGCCAGAGCCGCCUGCUACACCAACUGGCACCGUCGACCCCAACAUCCAGUCGGAGCCGUCUGCUGCACCAACCGGCACUGCCGACCCCAACAUCCAGCCGGAGCCGUUUGCUGUGCCAACUGGCACUGCCAACCCGAGCGCCCAGCCGGAGUCCUCCGCCGCUCCUUAG
RNAcentral lists this ribosomal RNA (1242 nucleotides) under Triticum aestivum (bread wheat). Its description in RNAcentral is "partial small subunit ribosomal RNA". The record is from RNAcentral. Lineage: Eukaryota; Viridiplantae; Streptophyta; Magnoliopsida; Poales; Poaceae.